UACGUAGGGGGCAAGCGUUGUCCGGAAUUAUUGGGCGUAAAGCGCACGUAGGCGGUUUGUUAAGUCGGAUGUGAAAUCCCUCGGCUCAACUGAGGAAGUGCAUCCGAAACUGGCAGGCUUGAGUACUAAAGAGGGUCGCGGAAUUCCCGGUGUAGAGGUGAAAUUCGGUAGAUAUCGGGAGGAACACCGGUGGCGAAGGCGGCGACCUGGGUAGAUACUGACGCUGAGGUGCGAAAGCGUGGGGGAGCAAACAGG
This 255-nucleotide ribosomal RNA is filed under the name uncultured bacterium. RNAcentral's name for it is "partial 16S ribosomal RNA". It matches the Rfam family "Bacterial small subunit ribosomal RNA", at positions 524 to 776 of the family's 1533-position model. The record is from RNAcentral.